ACCCGCUAAUGCCGGGGUAAGAUGGUUGACAGUGGAUCACUCAAUUUUUCGGAGGCCAUAUCUCAGGAAAGGUUUGACAUAUUUACAUUUUGUUUGGACUCUUAUAUACAUCAUUUAUUUAAGAUUUAUUGUGUUGUGGUUUAAAAGCUAUAUUAUGAGACAUGUAUGGUCACUAACGCUUUUAAAAAAAAAUGGAAUUUGAUCCACUGUGCAACAGGGGGUGUGAACAAUGGAUAUACCAGUGGUCCACAGUGGACCAAAGAGAAUCAUAUCAGAAAGAUAAGGGGAAAAAGAAUGAAACAGAACA
This is a long non-coding RNA of Leguminivora glycinivorella, 307 nucleotides long. RefSeq lists it as uncharacterized. The transcript has 3 exons. The record is from RefSeq and is a predicted model, not a curated record. NCBI's taxonomy places the organism in Eukaryota, Metazoa, Arthropoda, Insecta, Lepidoptera, Tortricidae.